GGCAGGCGCUCGCCCGGAGUCCUCCUCCUCCCCAUCAUGCAGAGCGCACCCGUCCCGCCGCCCAGACUCUAUGGUGAGCACAGAUGAGUUGCCCGCUGAGGAGGCGGGGCGGGGCCGGAAAGAAGAUGGCGACGCUGGUGCUGGAUAACGGCGCCUAUAAUGCCAAGAUCGGCUACAGCCACGAGCAUGUCAGUGUUAUUCCCAACUGCCAGUUUAGAUCAAAAACAGCACGUUUGAAAACUUUUACAGCCAAUCAACUGGAUGAAAUUAAAGAUCCCUCCGGACUCUUUUACAUUCUCCCUUUUCAGAAGGGUUACUUGGUGAACUGGGAUGUUCAGAGACAGGUUUGGGAUUACCUUUUUGGAAAGGAAAUGUAUCAGGUGGACUUUGUAGAUACAAAUAUUAUUAUUACUGAACCUUAUUUUAACUUCAGUUCAAUUCAAGACUCUAUGAAUGAAAUUUUAUUUGAAGAAUAUCAGUUUCAAGCAGUUCUUAGAGUAAAUGCUGGGGCUCUCAGUGCACAUAGAUAUUUCCGGGACAAUCCAUCCGAACUAUGUUGUAUCAUUGUGGACAGUGGCUACUCCUUUACACAUAUUGUACCUUACUGCAGAAGUAAAAAGAAGAAAGAGGCAAUUAUUAGGAUUAAUGUUGGAGGAAAGCUCUUAACCAAUCAUCUAAAGGAGAUCAUCUCUUACAGGCAGCUACACGUUAUGGAUGAAACUCAUGUAAUUAAUCAAGUGAAAGAAGAUGUAUGUUAUGUGUCUCAGGACUUUUACAAAGAUAUGGAGAUUGCUAAGUUGAAAGGGGAAGAAAAUACAGUAAUGAUAGACUAUGUUUUGCCAGACUUCAGCACAAUCAAAAAAGGGUUUUGUAAGCCAAGGGAAGAAAUGGUGUUAAGUGGAAAAUACAAGACUGGGGAACAAAUACUUCGUCUAGCAAACGAGAGAUUUGCUGUUCCAGAAAUUCUCUUCCAUCCUUCAGAUAUUGGCAUUCAAGAAAUGGGAAUUCCUGAAGCCAUUGUUUAUUCAAUUCAGAACUUGCCUGAAGAAAUGCAGCCUCACUUCUUCAAGAAUAUUGUUCUGACUGGGGGAAAUACCCUUUUCCCAGGCUUCAGGGAUCGAGUCUACUCUGAAGUUCGAUGCCUCACUCCAACUGAUUAUGAUGUUUCUGUUGUUCUGCCAGAAAAAGAAAUGGUGGGAUUACUGUCCAUCUCUUGAAUCAACUCUUGAAGAUAGUGCCUUGUUUGUUGCUUUUGGUCUUCAAAUUCUUCAGGAGUCAAACGCUGACAAAAGGUGAAGCCUUAAUAGGAAAAAAGCAUAACUUAGGCUAAAGGAUUCCUGCUCAUCAAGAAACUGAAGGACAAUAUUCUUGCAAGCAAGAAGGAAUCGACUGAUCUAUGCAUGAGACAUCUACGGGUGCAGCAAAAAACUUCGAAUGCUAGGGUAAUUUGUGCAUGCCUCAUGGUAGAAGCAUAAUAGGAACACAAUCAAAUGAAAUCUUCAGAGAAACCAAAAAUUACAGGCAAGCAAUUUUCCCUUUUAAUAAUGUAUGCUGAUAGAAAAGUGAACCAAACAUUCUACCAAAGUAAUAGUUUAUAUGUCUUUAGCCAAAUCUUAUUUUACACUAUUUUCUUCUGAAUUUAACUUUGUGAAGGAAAUUACAUAAUGAAUACCAGGAUUGAAGAGAAGUUAGAAUGUGGCCUCAGUCUCCAUUUAAUGCUAUGCUUUGUUUUAGGUGGGUAGUAAUUAAAAUUAGUUAAUGAAUUAAACCACUUAAAGCCCUAUUGUCAGUAUAACAGAGAAGAUGAGGAAGUCAGGAAAAGCAUUUCACCAUAAGUUGGUAUGUAGUACAUUAAACUUAUUUGCAUGCAACUACUUAUAUAAAAAUGCACAAUAUCAAACUUUCUACCUGAACUGGCAUCAGGAUCUUGUCCUUCCAGCAAACUCAUACGUUUCUUGCCAAUUAGUUCCAACAGAAUUAAAGGGGUCUGCACAAGAACAGAAUUUUCAGAUGUUUAGUUGGUGUUUAUACAGUUCAUUAGAAAACCAUACUUGCACAAUAAAGAUGAAGUUAAAGUUGAGUAUGUAAAUGGGCACUCCUGGUACAUAUGUUUUACAAACACAGAGUAAAUUGUUAGGUUUUUUUUAAAUUCAAGUAGUAGUAAUGUACAAUAGAACCUCAGAGUUACGAACUGACCAGUCAACCCCACACACUUCAUUUGGAACCGGAAGUACACAAUCAGGCAGCAGAGACCAAAAAAAGCAAAUGUACAGCAGUGGUUCUCAACAAGGGGGCCAGGGCCCCCUGAGGGGCCAUGAACAGAUUUCAGGAGGUCCUCCAAGCAGGGCCAGCGUUAGACUCCCCGGGGCUCAGGGCAGAAAGCGAAAGCCCCACCACAUGGGGCUGAACAUUGGGCCCUGAGUCCUGCCACCUGGGGCUGACACCAAAGCCUGAGCUUUGCAGGGGCCCCUGUGGCAUUAGGUCCCAGGCAGUUGCCCUGCUUGCUACCCCCUUAUGCUGGCCCUGGCUUUAUAUGCAGAAAAUCAGUUAUUGUGGCACAGAUGGGCUGUGGAAUUUUUAUAGCAUGUUGGGGGGCCUUGGAAAGAAAAGGGUUGAGAACAACUGCUAUACAGCAUAGUAUUGUGUUAACUAAAAAAUAAAGGGACAGUGUUAAAGAUUUGACAAGGUAAGGACACUGCUUUUUUCAUUUAAAUUAACAUGGUUAAAAGCAGUAUUUUUCUUCUGCAUAGAAAAGUUUCAAAGCUGUAUUUAGUCAAUGUUCAGCUGUAAACUUUUGAAAGAACCACCAUAACGUUUUGUUCAAAGUUACAAACAAUCUCCAUUCCCGAGGUGGUUCGUAACUCUGAGGUUCUACUGUACUUUUAAACAAAGUUAAAGGUCAUGAAAAUUAGUGACAGAAAGACCAGCGUAGUUUUGUUUUAAAUGAAAACUUAGGCUCAGAUCCUGCAAACAUUUAUAUGCUUAACCUCACUGGUUUCAAGGGGUCUACUCCUUAUAAUAAAGUUAAGCAUGCGCAUAAAAUGUUUUCAGGAUCAGGGCCAUAAGCUGUAAAUUUACAGCCAUUUCAGAGUUUGGUUUCCUAGUAAGAUGAUUUGUUAUUUGGAAUCAUUAAUAAGUGAGUCUAUAUUGCAGUACUUAAAAUUUCUGGUUGUUUUAGGGGUGGUGAUAAAAAUACAAAUUGUUUGGGUGACCUUAACUUUUUUUUUGUUCAGAUAGUAUUAAUUGUGUAUUUCCAGACUGUCAAAAGUUCAGACUGAUUGUAAAACUGCAAGGUUCUUUUAAGGAAAUCUGUUCUUAAAGUUCAUCUGCUCAGUCUUAUCUACAACUUAAGUUAGAGAAACUAAAAAUAUUUAUUUAUUAAAAAAGGAUUUAAAUGUUAGGUGACAGGUAUCCUUAAAGAUAGUAAGAUGGAUGGGAACUGCCCCGUCAGACCACCCCACCUGCUAGUGUCACACUUCCAUUCUGGUCAUCUGUAGAAGGCUUCAGUAGGUAAGAAAUGCAGAAAUGUCUAAACAAGCUAAUCCCCUCCCCCCAUACAGGCCAAGAUGAUAAAUCAAAGGUUAAGUUUCUAAGCCAAAACUUCUGGAGGUAUGACAAACCAAAUAAAUUACAGGAAAGUAUCCCAGAACUGAAAUAUAUUUUAUCUUCCAAGCAGCUUUUUAAAAAUUUCUCCCAGCGUAUCCAGAAAUAUUCUAUCCUGGGCUAAGAUCCUGCAAGUGAAAUUUCAAGCAAGUUGGUCCUUUCUGGCCAAAGCUUGAGAAGUGUGGUUUCUAACUCAAGCUUAUCAUGGAAAAGUAGUAGUACCUCUCUGUACAUAACCUUACACUAAAAAGUUCAUUUUUUUAAAAAUAGACUAAUUCAGUUUGGCAACAUUUCAAGAUAGCAUUGAGUCAGCUGCUUAAGGCCUCAAUACUUCAAUGAAUUGUAUGGGGGCAGGCCCAUUUGACUUUAAAAGGGCUGUGUGUGGGUGCAGAGGUCCAUCUGUAUGCAGCUCUUUGAAGCACUGGAGUCCAAGUUCCUAUAAUUGCAGCGUUCUAGAAAAGCAAGGGAUGUGCCAAAGUAAGUGAUUCUAUAUGUAGGGGGGAAGAAAAGAGGGUUUGGGAGAUUAAGUACUGAUCAUCAUCCACAUGCAUUUCCCUUCAAGGGGAAUAGAUUCCUUGCUUAACUCACAAGGUUUGAAAGUUCUAGUAAGCAUCUCAAACGCCUGAUGUUUAUUGAAUUCUUUACCUGAGCAACAGACAUCUCACACAGACUGUCUUUCCCUAUUUCUAGUACUUGAUAAUUUCAACUGAACCAGAAAUAGUGCAAUAGCAGCUUUUCCUAUGCUAUUUUGAUGCUUCCAUUUCUGACCCCAGCUGAUACGAAAUAAAAAGGGACAUGUGAGCAUUGUGUUCCUCAGACAGCGAGUUGGUUUAAUAUGAGGAUUCCCCCCCCCCCGCCAUAUACACUAUCUAGAGAAUAUUUACCACUUAAUUUUCCACCAUUUUCAGGCAGCUGAGAUGGAGUUCAAACUACCAGACAUUUUCCUAGUUGUCUUUUUAAUUCGUUUUCCAACUGGAAAAAUAACUAAAACAAAUACUAUAGUUUUAAUAUGCAUUGGCUAAAAUCUGAAAAAAAUUAAAUAGCUAGAAAAAGUACAUCUUUUCAUAUGCAAGAUAUAGUUGAAUGUAACUGAAAAAGUAUUUCUGCUUAUUCACAAUGGAUUUAUCAUUGACAAAUGGGAAAAAAUUGAUUUACCUACUAGGUUUAUAUUAACUGCCACAAGUAAGAUUUUAAAAUACUAAGUUAAUUCCUGGGGCUGAAAGACACUGCCAGUAUGUGCUCAGCCUCUGCAAAAUUUCAGCUUUGAAGGACUCCCUCUAAGUACAUUAGCUGGCUUCUGCAGGGAGUUGUUUCCAACACUGCUUUGCUAGAGAGAGAAGUGCUACAAUGAGCCUGCGAAUUUGAGAGUGGGGACAAUGGAAGUAGAGAGGAAGUAGAUAAUUUUAAAAGAUUUCCCCUGUAGUCCAGAAAAACUGAAUUAGUCUGGAACACUUUCUGGUCCUAUAAGACACUGUAGCUUUUACAGGUUGCCAUGACAGAUACAAAAAAGCACAUUCAUAUAAAGCUGCUUUUUGACAAUUAACAUCUAAAAUCACAAGGUCAAAGUUUGUCAGAUGAGAAGGAAAUACCUUGAAGAGUUCAGUAUGAUUCUUCAUCAGUAACUGGAUUAGCUGUUCAGUCUGUGUUUUUGACAAUCCUUUAUUUUGUAAAAUGGCCUUGGUAAAAAUCUUGAUGAUCACUGAUCUAUUAUCACACUAUAAAACAGAAGAAUAAUGACCUGGAUUAGAUUUGCUUGCAGUUAUUCUAGAUGUUAGCUAAAUGAUAGUUAUAAAUAGGUGACAAAAUCUACACUGUGAAAAAAAUACAUUUAAGUUAUUUUAAAAGCAUCAGGUUGAAAUUUAGUAAUGGAUCGGUCAAUUUCUAUGGCUGUUAAAAGAAUAAGUCUAUUAAUAUUACGAUGGGGGAGUGAUAAUUUCUACACUAUGUUUCAAUGCAAUACUUACUUGUUUUUGUAACGUGUAGCCCUCAGGUUCUGAUGCAACAACCAUAAACAUCAGUAGCCUACGCAGUUCUUCUUGGAUGUUCGGCCCUAGUAAUCUUAAGUAAAGCUGUGAUGCCUCCAGGGCUUGUGCUAUUUUUCCAUUCUCUGCAAUGUUAGUGAAAUAUUGUAUAUAGUGCAGUCUACUGCUUUGAACAGAAUCAAGAAAAUGUAUUUAAAUAGGAGUCAAUUUCUGAUUAUAGGCUUAAAACCAUGUAGCCUUCCUUGUCUUAGAGCUAGGCAAGUAAUAUAUUUUUAAAAUAACAUCCCCUGGAUAUUAUGAAGUCUUAAAUGAACUAGAUGCAGAACCUCCAUUUCACCUUUUUCAUACAGUUUGUGUUUCCCUACCUUUGACUGAAUCCUUAACUGCUCCUUUAUAUGAUGUGAUGCAACAUGACCAGCGUGCCUCACUGUUGCGCCAUUCCCAUUGCUGAUGAGCUUUUUAAACCACCAAGCUACACCCAUUUUGUGGUAAAGGGACAUGGCAGGAAUCACACUCUUAUAUAGCAUUCUUCAUCUGUAGAUCUCAAAGCAUUUGCAAAAGUAAGUAUCUUUAUCCCCAUUUAACAGAGGGGGAAACUGGCAGAGAGAUUAAAGUCACAGCAGGUCAGCGGCAGAGCCACCAAGGUCUUUGAUUGCCAGUCCUCUGCUCUAGACACUGGUCCAAAUAAUUAUGUCUAGCAAAAUGCAAACUAUAAUUAAAAGGAGACUGGUCCAUAAACCAAUUAUUUUCUCUGAAAGAAUAAAAGCAACUAGAAUUGAUGUAUAAGCGCAUUGAGACUUGGAAAAGGAGGAAGUAUGAAUGAGGGCUGAAAGCCAAAAGAAAAGAGUGAGCAAAUAUAGAAAAGAAGAGCAUCAGAAGACCAAGGUUAAGGAAAAUAUGGAGAAGUUGACAGAUUAGAUAACUGAUAAAGGACAGUUUCCAGCUGCCUCAGAGGUUUAAUCACAGAUCAGGAAGUUUCAUUUAAAAAAAAAAAGAUUUCAGCCUUCUGUUGACAGUGCAAAAAUAAUUUUUGAAAUCAAGCUUGCUGUGAGUUCAUGGAGAUACUAGUUUCAGCAUCUGUAGUGCACACACAGCAAGAGUAGGUUGUCUUCAAUUGGCUGCAACAGUUAUUGUGUGAGCAUGUAACAAUCCUUCCCCCACCCCAGGCCAAAUUUGCCAUCUGGAAUAGCCAACAACUAAAUUAGGCCAGGUCCUGCAGUCCUAUUGAAGUAAGAGAUCAAUGGCACCUUUAUCUGAGUAAGGGUUAUAGCACAGGGCCUAUAUAGCAGAAUAAAGGGUUAUAGCUCAGGGCCUAUAUAGCAGAAUAAAGAAUAAUAUACAAGCAACCCUAGGCAACUCUAAAGCCUGCACUUUGCAACUAGUGGUAAAAUAAGCAUAACCUCCUCCUAAUGUAUGUAUGUAUGAGCUGUGCUUCUUGUGUAGACUGAUGGGCAGCAGGAGACAAACCUAAAGAACUGUGGAAUGCUUAAUAUAUUUAGAAGUGAACCUCUGUUUAAUUAUGAAGUUAGGACCACCACCUGUCCAAAAUGAAGCUGAAACUAAGCUGGGCCUGCAUUAGAAACUGUUCCCCAGGCAGAUUUUAACUGACUAAAAUCUGGAAAGUGACACAGGACUGGCACAAAUUAGCGUGGCAUGUUCAUAGAACAUACUGUUUAGCUUAAGAGGAGAUUUUAAAUAAAGGGAGAAUAAUGAGGGAGCUACAGUAUGGAAAGCAUAGCGUUCUUUCAGUGAUUUAUGUCACCAGCCUUUUCCCCACCUCCCUUUAUGUGAAAGUAUGGUAGGGUAUGGUUCCUUUUUAACUAAACUAAUGAUUUCAAAUUAGUAAUCAUGGGUUGGGAAUUUACUAUAGUCUUACCACAGAUUUCUUUUUAUGAUCCCUUUAUUUAUUUUAAUUAAAAAGGGUCUCUUUGCCAAGUGUCAGCCCUAGGGAGGAACAUGCUCAAUGUCUUCAGUAUCAUCACUGAGCUCAUAUGGCACUAAGCUCUGUAAAGUAUCUCUGAAAAUGGAGCAUUAAGGUAACAUUCCAUACAUUCUGCAAGUCCUAAGGGGUACAAUAAAAAAAAAAACCAUACUCACGAUAGAAUUUAUUAAAAUCCAAGUUUAAGGUAACCCUUGCUGUUAUUUUGUUUUGGGAAGAUUUAGUUGUUUGCCAUAAAGUUUGCAGAAUCAGGAAGAACUUAUCAUACCCUGAAUUGAAUCUUAGAAUUAAGAGAAGAUUUCUGGUCUCUUACCUUGUUAGUUUAUUUGCUAUUAAUAGAAAUGAGUCCAUAAGUUAUGAAUCCCUCUUUUGAUUGACAGGGAAACAGUAUCAAAAAGUGAUUCUACUCAUAAGAUGUCUGUAUUAGUAUUUAGUUGAUAAGUUUUAAUUUCCUUAAUGUGAAAAUAAAGAUUAUGCACUUACCUAUAAGUUCAACAAUUCCUGAAUGAAUAUCAAGAUCAUGAUUGUUGAAAAGGGGGUCCCUCAUUUGAUUAUAAUAUUUUGCUAUCACAUCAAAAAGUGUCUUCUUGUGCAUAUUCAAGUGACUUGGUUCGUUACUGAUUUGAAAUAACUGCUGACCAACCAUCACUAUUAGCUGGUCUGGAAAAUACUCCAAGCAUUCAAUUGCUGCACAAAGCCAUUUGUCAAGCCUGGGGAGAGAAAGUUAGUUUUAGUACUUACAUUUAAUGCUAGACAAAACUUUAUUUCAGCUAAAAUUCAGAAAGAAUUAACCAGACACGUACAACUACAUGCAUAUUUGAACAACAGCAUCAUACAACUUAUUUAAUAAGCAAUUAAAGAACGUAGUGGGAUGCUGUAGCUAUAAGUCCACUGAAUUAUUGCUGCAAUUAACAACCAACUUUCGCCUCCCUAGACUACAACAAUACGGCUGAAGUUUGCCUUCCCUCAGACAAAGGAAGCCACAAUGGUGCAGUCUGUCACAAACAUUUCAGAAAUGCAAGUUGUGACAGUGCAGUCCUGCCUUGUCAGUUUCAGCCGUCACAAGGGAAAAAAGGUUAUCCAGCUACACAACCAAACUCAGGGGCUGAAACUUUAAAGGAGCAAAGAAACUAGACAUUCAAUUUAAAAACAAAAAUGAAACACUUAAAACCGUGACAAAUGAAAGGAAGCCAACAACUAACUAGGAAAGAACAAGAAAUAAGCACUAAAGAUUGCCACUGCAGGCAAAGGCAUCAUGCACAGAUGGUUCCAACACCAUCAACUGCCUGGGGCAAGAGGAGAGAUAAGGUGGGCGAGGUAAUCUCGCUUAUUGGACCAGCUUCUGUUGGUGAGACAAGCUUUUGAGCUUACACAGAGCUCUUCUGCAGCCCAGACCUGAAAAGCUCUAUGUAAGCUCAAAAUAGUCAGUCUCUCUUUCACCAACAGAAGUUGAUCCAAUAAGAGAUAUUACCUCACCCACCUUGUCUCUCUAGUACCCUGGUACUAACAUAGCUACAACGCUGCAUGUGGUAAGAAGGGUAGCAACUCUCUUCUUGUAAUGUUAGGUCCGACAAGGGGACAUUUAUGGCUCCAAUAGGAAAUAUUCUUCUAGAUCAGUGAUUCUCAAACUGUGGGUUGGGACCCUAAAGUGGGUCACGAUCCCAUUUUAAUGGGGUCACCAGGGCUGGCUUAGACUUUCUGGGGCCCAGCGCUGAAGCCGAAGCCCAGGGCCAAGCUAAAGCCAAAGCCCACUGCCUGGGGCUGAAGCCCUUGGGGUCAGGCUUCAGUCCCCCCUCCUAGGACCAUGUAGUAAUUUUUGUUGUUAGAAGGGGGUCACCAUGCAGUGAAGUUUGAGAACCCCUGUUCUAGAUGGUUCAUGGCCAAGUGUGGCUAUACACAUCCCACAUGGCAGCAUAAGCAAAGGGAAUACGAAUAAUUGUUUUUCCAAGCAUAAGUAACGUCCCUGUAGGUUGCCAGAAAGUAUGCAACCCAGAAAGAGAGACAGAAUUGAAAAGGCACAGCUGAGACCCUGAUUUCAGUCCAUUCUCUCUAAUAUUCUGAGACACCACUUCAAAGAAGUAUGAAUCUGGAAAAUACCCUUGGUUAGUGGGUUCAGGGAUGCAGAUACUGGAACUGUAAUCAACUGUUUGAAUAUACCAUGAGUUCGCAAAUGGAACUGUUGCUGAAAGAGAAAAAUAGCUCAGCUUAAUUUGAUUUUAAAACUGGAUCUAUGCUAAUUGACUUCAAGACCAGAGGUGUUUCUUGGAAUCAAUUCAAGCCACCUUCAACCACCUAAAACUAAUUUGAACAGCUAAACCAGUUAGAAACUAGCAGCAACUGAAGCUUCGCUGGUUACCUAACUCUCAAUGCAUUUUGCUUUGAUUCUCAAACAUCUUCCACAUGAACAAACAAAGACUAUUGUAAUGCAGAUGCUUUUUGGGGGAUAAACAGACUGACCAACAUUUAUCAAAAAGGAACCAAAAUUUGAUGACUUCUCCUGAAGUGAAACCAUACUAACUUUUCAAAACAUGGCUCAGGAUAAGUGCUAGCAUAAUAGACAAAUUCCUCUUAUGAGUUGACCCCAGGCCACCCACAUCCAAGAGGCUGGGCCUCAACACAUCAUUCCAGGCUACAAAAUGAAACUUUUAUUCAGCUGUACUGCCAUGUGGUAAAACAUGACAUCAACCCAGAUGUGAUCAACAGGAAUAGUUUAGAAAUACUGGAAGGUUUGGAACGGCAAACAGACUGGCACCAAAUUGCCACAUCUUUCUUUCUGUGGUACAGUGACCCUUUUGUCACAGCAGGGGCUUUCCCUUGCUAUCUGUAACAAUGGCUGCUCCAUUUGCUUUACACACUUACUGCACCUCCACUUCAAACCACCAAGAAAAGGACUGUAUAAACCCCUUUGGGAUACCUCAGUUAUGAAAGCCCUAAAAUAAGUUCUUAUAAAAUAUAUAUUUUUAUAACUAACUCGGGCAAAUUUAGGCUGCAUGUAACCUCUCUGUCAAGGAAAGUAUUUGAGAUAAUCAGAUCUUCUUCUCUGCCAAGAUGAUCAUUUUUCCUCUUGUUUGGAGACUCCAAAAUAUUUUCCAGGACUGGAAGAUCAAUUAACUGCAGUAGCCGUAACAGAGUCUGUUGUUUCCAGACAUCAUCUAUAACUGGGAGUACAAACAGGAAGAUGGAAAAAAUAAACCAGAAGUCAAGGUUACUGGGAACAAGAGUAGGUACACAUAGCAUGUAUGUAAAUAUCAAAAAGAAGAAUUUUUGCUUGAUUUGAAAUUAAGUCAGCCCAGCUUACAAUAUAUUCAUUAUAUGUAAAUAAUGUUAUUUUAUUUUUUAGGGGGAAAAUGUCUUAAGAAAACUGGGAAAAAGCUUUUAAAUAUUUUUGUGUCUAAGUUAUUACUUUUUAUAACUAACUAUCUGCUCUAACAUUUAAUAUAUACAGUAACAAAAUACAUGAGAAUAAAUACAUUAAAAAAAGGAAAGACCCUUAUAACCAAAAAGACUCUCAACAGGUGUUUUUAAGAGGGGCAAUGUAAGCUUGCAUAUCAUAUAUCCAUCUGAAAAUUUGGUAUGGGCUAUUUUAUAUGAGCCCCUAAGGUGCUUAAAGAGAAUAUUCUUUUUAGUUUUUUUUAUUUGAUUGCUGUGUGCAUUUAGCACUACUCUGCAUAGAAUCAGUUUCACUGUUUUGUUGAUAGUUGCACUGUAGUCUUGUAUGCUUUUGAGAGGAGUUCACAUGAAUGUUCUUCCCCAGGCUCUGCAAGAACUGCCAGUGUGUGGCAUUAGGAGUGUGACCUGGGCUCUUUCUUCCUGGACUCCUGCACAAAGAAGCCUGGGUUAUGUGCAUGGAGGCAACAUUUGGUAGGGCAGAAGGGACUAGGGGAGAGAGAGUCUCCUCUCAAUCACAAGACUUCUGGAUGGGGCUGGGAGCCAGGAAAGCCUCUUUCACAGACAGACUACACAACAGGAUUCAGGAGUACGUGGUCCCUCAGCUGGGCCAGGGAGAAGGAAGUGACAGCCCCCUCCUUAUCCCUUGCUCCCAAGACUGGAGACAGUAGGAAUAGCAGCCAGAGGAAAUUCCCCAACAAAACCCUCUCUCUGGAUUUAGGCUGGGAAAUAGUGAGGAUUAUCCUCCUUCACCUACACAGGAGCAGAAGCAGGAAAAUAGCAGCAUCCUCUGUCCGUAAACCUCUCCUCAGAGGCACAAACAACCUGGGGUCAAGAGGGACAUAGCAGUCCAGGCAGGAGAUAGGAAUCACUGAGUCUGGGAGGUGAGAAUCCACUGCAUUUUUAAAUUAAUAGUUGAGUUGUCCCCACCCACCUUUCACAAACGUCUACUGGGUGUUAUCAUAAUUUGUUAUUUCCUAAUAUAGCAAGAACUUUGAUGGGCCUAUGUCAUAUGGAUUUUAAAUGCUUCUAUUUUCAAGCAAACUAAAACUAUGUUUAAAGCUUUUGUAAUUUAUUAAACUAGGGCCCAAUCCUGAAAUUCUUAUGGAAGUAAUUUAAAUUGCAUGAAUAGCUACACUGAUUUAUUAUAGUAACUGUGUGAGUAAGGGCUCGAGGAUCAAGCUCUGAAUUCUGUGCAAGUCAUUUUUAAAAAUCUUGGUUUCAGUGCAAGAGUCACUUUCUGCAACAUCCUGGGCACUACUUAAAAGAUUUGUUUCAACGACAAAAGUAGCAAGAUACACAAAGUUCAAAUAAUAAUGCAAGGAAACGAUAUUUCAGCAAGAUGUGCCAGUACUCUUUCUAAGAGGCUGGAAAAGGGUAUAUUUCUAAUUUUCAAAACAUCUAUUAUUCAUUGCUUGUUUCAAUAAACAAAUUAUAGUUUAAUGUUCA
RNA transcript from Dermochelys coriacea (leatherback sea turtle), 12360 nucleotides. It is a transcript of the gene named actin related protein 6, with no coding region annotated. NCBI's taxonomy places the organism in Eukaryota, Metazoa, Chordata, Testudines, Dermochelyidae. The transcript is spliced from 12 exons. The record is from RefSeq and is a predicted model, not a curated record.